ACCUUCGGGCCUCUUGCCAUCAGAUGUGCCCAGAUGGGAUUAGCUAGUAGGUGGGGUAACGGCUCACCUAGGCGACGAUCCCUAGCUGGUCUGAGAGGAUGACCAGCCACACUGGAACUGAGACACGGUCCAGACUCCUACGGGAGGCAGCAGUGGGGAAUAUUGCACAAUGGGCGCAAGCCUGAUGCAGCCAUGCCGCGUGUAUGAAGAAGGCCUUCGGGUUGUAAAG
RNAcentral lists this ribosomal RNA (229 nucleotides) under Enterobacter asburiae. RNAcentral's name for it is "partial 16S ribosomal RNA". It matches the Rfam family "Bacterial small subunit ribosomal RNA", at positions 199 to 430 of the family's 1533-position model. The record is from RNAcentral. Lineage: Bacteria; Pseudomonadati; Pseudomonadota; Gammaproteobacteria; Enterobacterales; Enterobacteriaceae. RNAcentral also lists the same sequence under 2 other names.